This 403-nucleotide ribosomal RNA is filed under the name uncultured bacterium. RNAcentral's name for it is "partial 16S ribosomal RNA". It matches the Rfam family "Bacterial small subunit ribosomal RNA", at positions 30 to 526 of the family's 1533-position model. The record is from RNAcentral.
AUUGAACGCUGGCGGCAGGCCUAACACAUGCAAGUCGAGCGAGCGGCGGACGGGUGAGUAAUGUAUGGGGACUGCCCGAUAGCGGGGGAUAACUCCUGGAAACGGUAGCUAAUACCGCAUACUAUCGGAUAACCCAUAUGGGAUUAGCUAGUAGGUGCGGUAAUGGCUCACCUAGGCGACGAUCCCUAGCUGGUCUGAGAGGAUGAUCAGCCGCACGGGAACGGAGAAACGGCCCAGAUUCCUACGGAGGCAGGAGUGGGGAAUAUUGCACAGUGGGGGCAAGCCUGAUGCAGCCAUGCCGCGUGUAUGAAGAAGGCCCUAGGGUUGUAAAGUACUUUCAGUCGGGAGGCGUUACCGACAGAAGAAGGACCGGCUAACUCCGUGCGAGCAGCCGCGGUAAUAC